UUUUAGGGUUCUAGCCGUAGAAUGGGACAUUGUGCGAGGCGAGCUUCGACUUCAUUCGAUGUGAGGAACACCUGAAACUGGCAUUGAGGUAAACUGGAGUAGGUUCAAAAGAACUAAUGUUGUCCUCAGAGAGCUGAUCUUUGGCUGAUCAACACGUGUACUGUGAAAGCUCCGGAUAGCUGGAUGUGUUCCUCAGGGUUUAAAAGAUCUCAAAGCCAUCAGCAUCAUCUGAGUGCAGCAAAUACAGCGGGGGAGACUUUGAAAGGCCACGAGGCCUGGCUGCUUCGACAGGAUGCUUUACCGUCUCUUGAUUUGCCAAAAGUUUAUAAUCACUUUUGCUCUUGUGUUUUCAGGUUCGUAAGAACAAGUUUGUCGAGAUCAUUCCUAUCAACGUUGGCUGCUUGGGUGCUUGCACAUACUGCAAGACGAAGCAUGCUCGCGGGCAUCUUGGCAGCUACACAGUAGACACACUAGGAAGGACCUUCGCCAGUUUCUUUUCUCUGCUACUGAGCUUUAUCUACAGGUGCAAAGAUUGAAAACUGUGGUGUCUGAAGGUGUGAAGGAGAUAUGGCGACACUGGAGCUUGUUACAUGACACACCUCACCACAUGUCCAUUAGGGUUUUUCUGUUCUGUCCGCUAGUGCAGUGCAUUUUAAUCCCGAUUUG
Long non-coding RNA from Selaginella moellendorffii, 666 nucleotides. RefSeq lists it as uncharacterized. NCBI's taxonomy places the organism in Eukaryota, Viridiplantae, Streptophyta, Lycopodiopsida, Selaginellales, Selaginellaceae. The transcript is spliced from 3 exons. The record is from RefSeq and is a predicted model, not a curated record.